Molecule: ribosomal RNA, 484 nt
Filed under: uncultured bacterium
Lineage: Bacteria
Description: partial 16S ribosomal RNA
Rfam family: Bacterial small subunit ribosomal RNA
Source: RNAcentral
AUUGAACGCUGGCGGCAGGCCUAACACAUGCAAGUCGAGCGGAUGAAGGGAGCUUGCUCCUGGAUUCAGCGGCGGACGGGUGAGUAAUUCCUAGGAAUCUGCCUUGUAGUGGGGGAUAACGUCCGGUAACGGGCGCUAAUACCGCAUACGUCCUGAGGGAGAAAGUGGGGGAUCUUCGGACCUCACGCUAUCAGAUGACCCUAGGUCGGAUUAGCUAGUUGGUGGGGUAAAGGCCUACCAAGGCGACGAUCCGUAACUGGUCUGAGAGGAUGAUCAGUCACACUGGAACUGAGACACGGUCCAGACUCCUACGGGAGGCAGCAGUGGGGAAUAUUGGACAAUGGGCGAAAGCCUGAUCCAGCCAUGCCGCGUGUGUGAAGAAGGUCUUCGGAUUGUAAAGCACUUUAAGUUGGGAGGAAGGGCAGUAAGUUAAUACCUUGCUGUUUUGACGUUACCAACAGAAUAAGCACCGGCUAACUUCGUG